UCCGGGAGUCGGUCGGGCGCUUGCGUCCGCCAACCUGGUCAGGUCCGGAAGGAAGCAGCCACAACGGGUUGCGGCGGGUCGGCCGGCUCCUUUUUCA
Molecule: signal recognition particle RNA, 97 nt
Filed under: Qipengyuania algicida
Lineage: Bacteria; Pseudomonadati; Pseudomonadota; Alphaproteobacteria; Sphingomonadales; Erythrobacteraceae
Description: Bacterial small signal recognition particle RNA
Rfam family: Bacterial small signal recognition particle RNA
About the family: The signal recognition particle (SRP) is a universally conserved ribonucleoprotein involved in the co-translational targeting of proteins to membranes.
Source: Rfam by way of RNAcentral